This 517-nucleotide ribosomal RNA is filed under the name uncultured bacterium. RNAcentral describes it as "bacterial SSU rRNA". It matches the Rfam family "Bacterial small subunit ribosomal RNA", at positions 553 to 1071 of the family's 1533-position model. The record is from RNAcentral.
ACUGGGCGUAAAGGGCACGCAGGCGGUGACUUAAGUGAGGUGUGAAAGCCCCGGGCUUAACCUGGGAAUUGCAUUUCAUACUGGGUCGCUAGAGUACUUUAGGGAGGGGUAGAAUUCCACGUGUAGCGGUGAAAUGCGUAGAGAUGUGGAGGAAUACCGAAGGCGAAGGCAGCCCCUUGGGAAUGUACUGACGCUCAUGUGCGAAAGCGUGGGGAGCAAACAGGAUUAGAUACCCUGGUAGUCCACGCUGUAAACGAUGUCGAUUUGGGGGUUGAGCUUUGAGCUUGGCGCCCGUAGCUAACGUGAUAAAUCGACCGCCUGGGGAGUACGGCCGCAAGGUUAAAACUCAAAUGAAUUGACGGGGGCCCGCACAAGCGGUGGAGCAUGUGGUUUAAUUCGAUGCAACGCGAAGAACCUUACCUACUCUUGACAUCCAGAGAACUUUCCAGAGAUGGAUUGGUGCCUUCGGGAGCUCUGAGACAGGUGCUGCAUGGCUGUCGUCAGCUCGUGUCGUGAG